This is a long non-coding RNA of Trichomycterus rosablanca, 4171 nucleotides long. RefSeq lists it as uncharacterized. The record is from RefSeq and is a predicted model, not a curated record. Lineage: Eukaryota; Metazoa; Chordata; Actinopteri; Siluriformes; Trichomycteridae. The transcript has 5 exons.
AUGGGCUAGCGUAAGGAUCUGAGUAAGUCUGACAAGGGCUAAAUUGCAAAUUGUGAUGGCUAGACGACUGGGUCAGAGCAUCUCCAAAACUGCAGCUCUUGUGGGCUGUUCCCAGUCUGCAGUGGUCAGUAUCUAUCAAAAGUGGUCCAAGGAAGGAACAGUGGUAAACCGGUGACAGGGUCAUGGGCGUCCAAGGCUCAUUGAUGCACGUGGGGAGCGAAGGCCGGGCCGUGUGGUCCGAUCCAACAGACGAGCUACUGUAGCUCAAAUUGCUGAAGAAGUUAAUGCUGGUUCUGAUAGAAAGGUGUCAGAAUACACAGUGCAUCACAGUUUGUUGUGUAUGGAGCAGCAAAACGGGACCAACACACUAUUAGGAGGGUGGUCAUAAUGUUAUGCCUAAUCGGUGUAUAAGGAUGUUUAUUAUUAUUGUUAUUGCAUUCACAGAGCCUCUGUGAGAGACUCUGUCGGUGUGAUCCUUCUCUGCAGACAAGAUUAAAACUCUUCUCUACUCACAAUCCAGUCUUUAUUAUGGGUUUCUACCACAAUAGCAACUAUAAAGCACACAUUUUUAGCAUUAGGCAAAUGUAGACUGCUUAAAAAGCCUGCCAAGAAACUAAGACAACACUUUUUCUGUAGUACAAUCAUUUUGGCAGUGAUCCUCAUGUUUUUUUUCCCUAAAGCCAUGUUUAGCCACCUCCAAAGGGUUGCAUCUGCAUGCAGGGCACACACACGGAGCAGGAGAUUGGAUUCUGACUGACUCUAGCAUGCUUUCAUGAGUCCGCUCCAAGAAAUUGUUUCUAUAACUCCAUCCAGGCACUGCUGACAAAAUAAUGUUCUAGUGUUUCAUUCAUCUCCAAAAAAGAAAUCUGUCUGAGUGAUUGUGGCAGUGAGGUCUCACCUUUUUGUUUUUCUCGCACAGGUCUCUGAGCAGGGCGUCCAGCUCGUUUUCGUCCAUAUAACCGUUUCUGUCCUAGAAAGGCAGAGGAAGAAGGGAUUUGUCAGACACACAGGAAAGUGCUAGUGCUAGUGCUAGAGAACCCAAGAACAAGCCUGGGACGGUAAUGAACAAGCGGCACCCAAAGAACUGGCACUGUCUGCACUUAGGAUGGAAUCAAACAUGGAAAAAACUGACAUCCCACCUAUGGGGUAGUUUGUCAUCCAGGAAAACAGAAACAGAUUGACACCAACACCCAGUUCUAAGAGAAAGCAGGUUGCCAACAAAGGAGAAAUUGUGAUAAAUAGAAACCCUUCCACCUGGAGCAAAUUAACACUCAACAACGCACAGGAGACUGUUAGGAGAAACCUACAGUGCUAGAGAAUCCAAGAACAAGCCUGGGCCGGCAAUGAACAAGCGGCACUCAAACAGCUGGCACAGUCCGCACUCAGGAUGGAUUUAAACAUAGAAAGAACCGACACCCAGUCUGGGGCAGUUCGGCAUCCAGGAAAACAGAAACAGAUUGACACCAACACCCAGUUCUAAGAGAAAGCAGGUUGCCAACAAAGGAGAAAUUGUGAUGAAUAGAAACCCUUCCACCUGGAGCAAAUUAACACUCAACAACGCACAGGAGACUGUUAGGAGAAACCUACAGUGCUAGAGAAUCCAAGAACAAGCCUGGGCCGGCAAUGAACAAGCGGCACUCAAACAGCUGGCACAGUCCGCACUCAGGAUGGAUUUAAACAUAGAAAGAACCGACACCCAGUCUGGGGCAGUUCGGCAUCCAGGAAAACAGAACCAGAUUGACACCAACAUCCAGUUCUAAGAGAAAGCAGGUUGCCAACAGAGGAGCUGGCAACUCUGUGAGGAAGAAAUCGUGAUGAAUAGAAACCCUUCCACCUGAAGCAAAUUAAUACUCAACAACACACAUGAGACUUUCAGGAGAAACCUACAGUGCUAGAGAACCCAAGAACAAGCCGGGCACGGCAAUGAAAAGCGGCACCCAAACCGCUGGCACAGUCUGCGCUCAGUAUGGUUACAAACAUGGAAAGAACUGACACCCCACCUAUGGGGCAGUUUGUCAUACAGGAAAACAGAACCAGAUUCAACCCCACAUCAAGUUCUAAGAGUAAGCAGAUUACCAACAGAGGAGCUGGCAACUCUGUAAGGAAGAAAUUGUGAUGAAUAGAAACACUUCCACCUGGAGCAAAUGAAUUCUCAACAACGCGACUGUCAGGAGAAACCUACAGGUCAAUUUGCCUUUAUUGUCAUGUAUACAUAUAUAAACUUUCUUACUACUAAAAACAAAUCUGUGCAUCUGUUAAAUAAUCAAAACCACACUAUAUGGCCAUUACGCAACAGUAUAAGGACACCUGACCAUGAGCUUGUUGGAUAUACCAUUACAAAGCUAUGGACAUUAAUAUGAAGCACUGUUCUGUGAAGGCUUUUCAUAAUUAUUUUGGAGUGCACCUGUUAGCAAUAAAAAUUGCUGAAACCUCAGAAAUUGGGGGUGUCUACAUACUUUUGGCCAUAUAGUUAGUGUUGUUUGUGGAUAUUUUUAAGCAGCAGUGACUGACAAUAUGCUUAGGGUUUAUGGAAAAACUAAAGUUACCAAAAGUAAGAAAAUUUUUAGCAAAGCCAUGCACACGUUGCAACAUUAUAGUUGUUAUAAAUAAAAUAUAGGUAUGUACAUACCUUAUCAUAUAAUUCGAAGAUCUUGUUGAACUCUUUUCUAGGCAUUUUUACCCCCUAUGGAAAGAUGAGAUAAUUGAAAUAAUUAAAAGCAGUCAGCAAAACAGCGUUGCUUAAUUUGUUUUUUAUUUGUUUGUAGAGACAAACCUGAAAUUUUAGUAGAAAGUUCUCUUGGUCUGGUAGUAGCCUGUUGUGAGAUUAGAGAUCUAGUGUUAAAUAUACUGCUCAAAAAUUAAGGGAACACUUAAAUCACACAUUGGAUCUCAAAGGUUAAAAAUCUUAACUGAUAUAAAAUGUGUCAUUUGUUGAGAAGGAAAUGAUGUAACGACAGUCAGUGGGAAUCUAAAUAAUCAACCCACUAAGGCCUGGUUUCAAAAUCACACCAAUAAUAAAAGUAAAAAAAUGUGAUCCCAUUUGUGUGAAUUUGAUCAUGACAGCUUAUAAUAUGACACAUAGUGUGUCCCCAUGUGCCUGUAUGUACUCCCGAUAACAUCUGGGCAUGCUCGUGAUGAGAUGGCGGAAGUUGUUCUAGGGAAUCUUCUCCUGGAUCUGGAUCACUGUAUUAAUGAGCUCCUGGACAAUCUUAGCCCUUUUCAACCAAUGUGGAAUGAGUUCCGUUUCAGUUUUGAACCAUUUUGCACAUUUCCACCAACAAUAAAUCAUUUUUAUGUUCAUUGCCAACUGGAACCAAAGAAUAGUAAGUUUUUCAGCACAAAUCAUUACGAUAUUCAUGGCCAUGUCAAGUCAUAGAUAAAAGAGAAUGUCUUCUUAUAACCAAAAUAUCCAUAAUUUAUGUUUAUGUACAAAACAAACAUUUCUAACACCAGCACAACUGUUUGCAGGUAAUGGAUGUUCUCUGAGAGUAUGUUCUCUCAGCUUAUUACUAUUAUCACAACAGUUACUACUGUUUACUUCUGUUGUGCAGCGCCCUCUGUUGAUAAUGCAUCGUUGGUUUCAAUAAAAACUAGUGCAAACACAAGCCGGUUCUCUGGUUCUAGAGGUGUGAAUGGAACCAGUUCAAUCUCAGAGUUAUUUUGGUCAAAAAGGGCUCUCUGUCACACUGCAUUGGAUGCACUAAUACAGAAUGUCUCAGAGUUUCUCAGUUGUGGGGCUCUGGCAGUGCCCCUCCUGUUCCUUCUUACACAAAGGAGCAAAUAUUGGUCCAGCUGCUGGGUUGGUGCCUUUCUAUAGCCCUGUCCAGCUCUCCAAGUCUCUGUGUCAUAAUGUGAUGAUUAUGUGUUCCCUUAUUUUUGAGCAGUAUAGAAUGUUAAGAUAGAUUUAUAACUUACAGUUUAAAAAAGAAAAGGCUUGUAAAGGCUUUUAGGAAUAUAAAAAAGACAAACCUUGCCAUUUCUGCCAGACAUAAUUUCCCAUCAUUAUUUGAAUCAAAGAUUUUCAGCUGCAGAAAAGAAACAUUGCAAUUACAUUUUUAGCAAAUUUUAAAGAUAUAAAAAAAAGACAUGCUAAUAUUCAUGAUGCUCUUACUGUGGUUGAUGUGUAUUCUUCUAAUUUCUUGUCAUCAAAAGGUUUUUUUGCUCUUUGAAG